RNAcentral lists this long non-coding RNA (1174 nucleotides) under Nicotiana tabacum (common tobacco). RNAcentral's name for it is "long non-coding RNA (NTAB_LNC019451)". The record is from RNAcentral. Lineage: Eukaryota; Viridiplantae; Streptophyta; Magnoliopsida; Solanales; Solanaceae.
GGAAACCUAUAUGCGUGUAACUUUGAUUCAUAGGGGAAAUUAUAAGAUUGCUUGAUAUUUUGUAAGGAACAAAUCACCUUCUUCUAGUAAACUAUUUCCAAACAAAGAACAAAUACAAACUAUUUUAAAACUAUAGGCAUGUUUAUCUGGGUCUAGAAUUGCAAUCAAAUAACCCAUUAAAUGGGCUUUCCUGCAUCACUGUAACAAAGCCCAUUGGAGUUGCUGAGGGCCGAGUCCAAAAUUCCAUAGACUCUGAAAGAAUACUCUAAUAACUAAGCAAUGACUAGCAAUUAUUCAAAAAGGGAAAUUCUUACAAAAUAAUUAAAUACAACCUUAAUUUCAAAUCCCAUUAAUCACGAUUUAGAACAAGAAUCAGUUGCCAUUUUAAUUUUUACAACAAUCAAGUGCUCUCAAAAGCAAUUUAUUAAUGAAGCUAACUUGCUAAACUAUACACUGAAACAACAGCCAUGUAUGCUUCAACACUAGGCAAUAGCUUAGCCAUCAUUCAGGCGAAACCUGUUCAAAUUUGAAGCUCAUACUUAAACCAAUUAUUAUAGGAGAAUGUCUAUGAUUAGAACUAAGAAACAACAGUUAAACAGGCAGUUUAUAUUUUAAUACAAAUCCAAAAUAGAGUACAAGUGAUAAAUGUGUACCUAAGCUUGAAAAACAAAACUGAACUUUGCCGAAUAAGAUCAAAGAAAUCAGCUACUGAAUAAGCCUACAGCAGGUCAGCAGCAGAAAAGCCUAGAGAACCAAAUAUUGUAGCUUCUAGCUCAACUCAAACAGGACCAGCAGUGAAUCAACCCAUAAAACUUGUUCUAAUCCCUGAAACCCUUAGCCAAGACCCCAGAAAAUAGAAAGAAACUAAAAAUUUCUUAGGAAAUCUUUUUGGAAAUCUGGAUUUUUAGCAGUUUGUGCCUUUUCUCCCUUUUAUCUGUGCCCUAAUUAUUGGUAAGGGAGUCUUGUUAUAGAAGGAAUUUAGAGCAACAAAAAUCAGAUUUGUAAAUUAAAAGUACCCCCUUAACUUCUAAUUUUAUUAACUUACCCCCUGCCCCAUGAUGUUCCCCCUCUUUUAUCUCUAAAAUGAAAAGCUUCCCUCAAAUCCUAUCCAAUUCGAACCCCAGUACCCUUGUAUUUACCCCUUUUAUUUUUACUGUUUUAGGUUAAAACCGGG